RNAcentral lists this ribosomal RNA (462 nucleotides) under uncultured bacterium. RNAcentral describes it as "partial 16S ribosomal RNA". It matches the Rfam family "Bacterial small subunit ribosomal RNA", at positions 28 to 507 of the family's 1533-position model. The record is from RNAcentral.
GACGAACGCUGGCGGCGUGCUUAACACAUGCAAGUCGAACGGAAAGGCCCUUCGGGGUACUCGAGUGGCGAACGGGUGAGUAACACGUGGGUGAUCUGCCCUGCACUUUGGGAUAAGCCUGGGAAACUGGGUCUAAUACCGAAUAGGACCGCGCGCUUCAUGGUGUGUGGUGGAAAGCUUUUGCGGUGUGGGAUGGGCCCGCGGCCUAUCAGCUUGUUGGUGGGGUAAUGGCCUACCAAGGCGACGACGGGUAGCCGGCCUGAGAGGGUGACCGGCCACACUGGGACUGAGAUACGGCCCAGACUCCUACGGGAGGCAGCAGUGGGGAAUAUUGCACAAUGGGCGCAAGCCUGAUGCAGCGACGCCGCGUGAGGGAUGACGGCCUUCGGGUUGUAAACCUCUUUCACCAGGGACGAAGCGCAAGUGACGGUACCUGGAGGAGAAGCACCGGCCAACUACGUG